This 937-nucleotide unclassified non-coding RNA is filed under the name Hevea brasiliensis (rubber tree). The record is from RNAcentral. Lineage: Eukaryota; Viridiplantae; Streptophyta; Magnoliopsida; Malpighiales; Euphorbiaceae.
GGAUUGAUAAUACUGUGGAGGCUGUGCCUUCAGCUGAACAAUCCUUCCCUUUGAUUGCAUCUGAUUCUGGUAUGAAUGGUCUUGAGGCACUGCCAGAUCAUGUUCCCUCAUCUUUUGAGCCCUUCCAACUUCUGAGCAUGGAUGAAGAUGUGGAUUUGGAAAUUCAGACAGGGUCUGGCAGUGAUCCUGGCACUAGUCGUAAUGUUGAAAGACAGACAGUACAAAGAAAUAGUCGUAGGCACUUAGUGGUUGCACAUUGGCACUUGUCUGCAAAAUCACAAUGGAAUUAUGUGCCAAAUGGUUUCCAUGCAAAUCAGAAUUCUCAGGCACCAAAACUUAGUGCCAUGCAGAAGCAUGGAAAUUACAGGGACUCAAAAUCGCUGCUUUCAAUCAAUGGCAAUAGGAAGUGGAGCCGAAAACCUAAACCAGAUUAUAGUGGAGACGUUUUGAAAACGAGAGUACAGAAACAAGCAAUAAGCCUGCCAGAUCACAAUAAGAAGCAUGAGGUUCUGAUUGGUUCUAUAUCUGUUGCACUUGGAAACUGCAGCCAACAGGAAGGUAACAAUUUGGAUGGAGCCAGAGAUGAUUUUCUGUCAGAGCAUCAAAUGCCAAAGAAAAACAAUGUUCAGGAUAAGCACAAUAGACCUGAUUCUGCUCACUGCAGUACAAAUCGGUCAACAAUAAAGCUUUGGAGGCCUGUGAGUAGAAAUGGAAUCAAAGGUCCAAUAUUAGUUGAAAAUGGGGAUAGAGAAUCUCAAGUUGAUGGGAUUACCGGUAAGGGUGACGAUUAUAUCCCACCUAAUGGAAACUGUCUUUGUUUGUGUUCUGUUGACGAUGAUCAUGGUGGAAUGGGGAACAGUUUCCCACUCCUUCAGGGGACUCCACAUCCCGGAAGCUUGCACUUCUCGUGCCAAGCAGCAAAAGCAUUUCUUGCAGA